UGGGUCUUCUCCUGGAAGCUGGUUUCAGGUGGUGGCUUAGAGUGCUUCAUGUUUUUCAUCUAGCACCAUUUGAAAUCAGUGUUCUUGGAGCAAGAGAGACA
This 101-nucleotide microRNA precursor is filed under the name Lepisosteus oculatus (spotted gar). Its description in RNAcentral is "miRNA (ENSLOCG00000020278.1)". The stretch from base 14 to 85 matches the Rfam family "mir-29 microRNA precursor family". From Rfam's summary of the family: This family represents the microRNA (miRNA) precursors mir-29. Animal miRNAs are transcribed as ~70nt precursors and subsequently processed by the Dicer enzyme to give a ~22nt product. In this case the mature sequence comes from the 3' arm of the precursor. The record is from RNAcentral. Lineage: Eukaryota; Metazoa; Chordata; Actinopteri; Semionotiformes; Lepisosteidae.